GGGUUUGAAGCUCAGUGGUAGAGUACUUGCUUAGCAUGUAAGAAGCCUGGGUUCUAUCCCCAGCACCACCG
RNAcentral lists this transfer RNA (71 nucleotides) under Marmota monax (woodchuck). It matches the Rfam family "tRNA". Rfam says of the family: Transfer RNA (tRNA) molecules are approximately 80 nucleotides in length. Their secondary structure includes four short double-helical elements and three loops (D, anti-codon, and T loops). The record is from Rfam by way of RNAcentral. Lineage: Eukaryota; Metazoa; Chordata; Mammalia; Rodentia; Sciuridae.